RNAcentral lists this transfer RNA (75 nucleotides) under Armatobenedenia armata. RNAcentral's name for it is "partial tRNA-Thr". Lineage: Eukaryota; Metazoa; Platyhelminthes; Monogenea; Capsalidea; Capsalidae. The record is from RNAcentral.
UAAAUAUAGUUUAAUAAAAAAUAUUGUUUUUGUAAAACAAAGAUAGCUUAGCUUAUUUAUAUUUUAUAGAUAAAA